Long non-coding RNA from Anguilla anguilla (European eel), 329 nucleotides. RefSeq lists it as uncharacterized. The transcript has 4 exons. The record is from RefSeq and is a predicted model, not a curated record. Lineage: Eukaryota; Metazoa; Chordata; Actinopteri; Anguilliformes; Anguillidae.
ACGAGGAGGCGUCCGCUGGUGACACCAUGGCAGGAAGCUCCCCACUCAGGCUACUCCUCGCAGUGGCUUUCUGUCUCUCCCAGACAGGGGCCAACACAGGACUCGAGGACUCUAAUUCAUCAGUAACACUUCCAAACUGGAAACCAAAUGCAGAAUACAUUACGAAGUGUGACUUCAAUAAUGGCCAGACUCCAUUUUGUGGGUGGACUCACUUAGGGUGGAUUGCAACGCCACAAGGAGCAGAGGGAUCUUAUCUCCUUCGUGAGAACGGCCUUUUGAACCCUUUUGGAUUGUCCCGCUUAGAGAGUGAACUCCUUAACCUCUCCGGC